This 71-nucleotide transfer RNA is filed under the name Candidatus Limnocylindria bacterium. RNAcentral describes it as "tRNA-Gly". It matches the Rfam family "tRNA". Rfam says of the family: Transfer RNA (tRNA) molecules are approximately 80 nucleotides in length. Their secondary structure includes four short double-helical elements and three loops (D, anti-codon, and T loops). Lineage: Bacteria; Bacillati; Chloroflexota; Candidatus Limnocylindria. The record is from RNAcentral.
GCGGGUGUGUUGUAGUGGUAACAAACAAGGUCCCCAACUUUGGAUCGCGGGUUCGAUUCCCGCCACCCGCU